RNAcentral lists this transfer RNA (805 nucleotides) under Dendronephthya gigantea. RNAcentral's name for it is "uncharacterized LOC114538521, transcript variant X7". The record is from RNAcentral. Lineage: Eukaryota; Metazoa; Cnidaria; Anthozoa; Malacalcyonacea; Nephtheidae.
UCAAAGUGUUUAUUUCUGCUCACACAUUCAAUUAUUGAACGACAAAGCUGUCAAGUCCGAUAUGUUUUUCAAAGUGUUUAUUUCUGCUCACGCAUUCAAUUAUUGAACGACAAAGCUGUCAAGUCCGAUAUGUUUUUCAAAGUGUUUAUUUCUGCUCACGCAUUCAAUUAUUGAACGACAAAGCUGUCAAGUCCGAUAUAUUUUUCAAAGUGUUUAUUUCUGCUCACGCAUUCAAUUAUUGAACGACAAAGCUGUCAAGUCCGAUAUAUUUUUCAAAGUGUUUAUUUCUGCUCACGCAUUCAAUUAUUGAACGACAAAGCUGUCAAGUCCGAUAUGUUUUUCAAAGUGUUUAUUUCUGCUCACGCAUUCAAUUAUUGAACGACAAAGCUGUCAAGUCCGAUAUGUUUUUCAAAGUGUUUAUUUCUGCUCACGCAUUCAAUUAUUGAACGACAAAGCUGUCAAGUCCGAUAUAUUUUUCAAAGUGUUUAUUUCUGCUCACGCAUUCAAUUAUUGAACGACAAAGCUGUCAAGUCCGAUAUAUUUUUCAAAGUGUUUAUUUCUGCUCACGCAUUCAAUUAUUGAACGACAAAGCUGUCAAGUCCGAUAUAUUUUUCAAAGUGUUUAUUUCUGCUCACGCAUUCAAUUAUUGAAGUAAGUAUUCUUUACUGAAUUUCCCGUUUAAUCAAACAGGUAAUCAAAACAAGCCCGAUAUGGGACUCGAACCCAUGGCCCUCAGAUUAAAAGUCUGAUGCUCUACCAACUGAGCUAACCGGGCAGCUAAUGCUUUCGUUGGGAAAUUAACCAA